This 449-nucleotide ribosomal RNA is filed under the name uncultured bacterium. RNAcentral describes it as "partial 16S ribosomal RNA". It matches the Rfam family "Bacterial small subunit ribosomal RNA", at positions 29 to 523 of the family's 1533-position model. The record is from RNAcentral.
AGCGAACGCUGGCGGCAGGCCUAACACAUGCAAGUCGAACGAACUCUUCGGAGUUAGUGGCGGACGGGUGAGUAACACGUGGGAACGUGCCUUUAGGUUCGGAAUAACUCAGGGAAACUUGUGCUAAUACCGAAUGUGCCCUUCGGGGGAAAGAUUUAUCGCCUUUAGAGCGGCCCGCGUCUGAUUAGCUAGUUGGGGAGGUAAAGGCUCACCAAGGCGACGAGCAGUAGCUGGUCUGAGAGGAUGAUCAGCCACAUUGGGACUGAGACACGGCCCAAACUCCUACGGGAGGCAGCAGUGGGGAAUCUUGCGCAGUGGGCGAAAGCCUGACGCAGCCAUGCCGCGUGAAUGAUGAAGGUCUUAGGAUUGUAAAAUUCUUUCACCGGGGACGAUAAUGACGGUACCCGGAGAAGAAGCCCCGGCUAACUUCAUGCCAGCAGCCGCAGUAA